RNAcentral lists this ribosomal RNA (492 nucleotides) under uncultured bacterium. RNAcentral describes it as "partial 16S ribosomal RNA". It matches the Rfam family "Bacterial small subunit ribosomal RNA", at positions 29 to 507 of the family's 1533-position model. The record is from RNAcentral.
AGUGAACGCUGGCGGUAGGCCUAACACAUGCAAGUCGAACGGCAGCACAGUAAGAGCUUGCUCUUACGGGUUGCGAGUGGCGGACGGGUGAGGAAUACAUCGGAAUCUACUUUUUCGUGGGGGAUAACGUAGGGAAACUUACGCUAAUACCGCAUACGACCUACGGGUGAAAGCAGGGGAUCUUCGGACCUUUCGCUAUUGAAUGAGCCGAUGUCGGAUUAGCUAGUUGGCGGGGUAAAGGCCCACCAAGGCGACGAUCCGUAGCUGGUCUGAGAGGAUGAUCAGCCACACUGGAACUGAGACACGGUCCAGACUCCUACGGGAGGCAGCAGUGGGGAAUAUGGGAGAAUGGGCGCAAGCCUGAGCCAGCCAUACCGCGUGGGUGAAGAAGGCCUUCGGGUUGUAAAGCCCUUUUGUUGGGAAAGAAAAGCAGCAGGUUAAUACCCCGCUGUUCUGACGGUACCCAAAGAAUAAGCAACGGCUAACUUCGUG